GAUGAACGCUAGCGAUAGGCUUAACACAUGCAAGUCGAGGGGCAGCACAAGGUAGCUUGCUAUCUGGGUGGCGACCGGCGCACGGGUGCGUAACGCGUAUGCAACUUGCCCUAUACAGGAGGAUAACCCGUCGAAAGACGGACUAAUACUGCGUAUGCUCACAACUUGGCAUCAAGUGGUGAGGAAAGAAAUUCGGUAUAGGAUAGGCAUGCGUCCCAUUAGCUUGUUGGUGAGGUAACGGCUCACCAAGGCAACGAUGGGUAGGGGAACUGAGAGGUUUAUCCCCCACACUGGUACUGAGACACGGACCAGACUCCUACGGGAGGCAGCAGUGAGGAAUACUGGCCAAUGGGCGCGAGCCUGAACCAGCCAAGUCGCGUGAAGGAUGACUGUCUUAUGGAUUGUAAACUUCUUUUAUACGGGAAUAACAAGAGUCACGUGUGACUCCCUGCAUGUACCGUAUGAAUAAGCAUCGGCUAACUCCGUG
Molecule: ribosomal RNA, 487 nt
Filed under: uncultured bacterium
Lineage: Bacteria
Description: partial 16S ribosomal RNA
Rfam family: Bacterial small subunit ribosomal RNA
Source: RNAcentral